UGCAAGCGUUAAUCGGAAUCACUGGGCGUAAAGGGUGCGUAGGCGGUACGUUAGGUCUGUCGUGAAAUCCCCGGGCUCAACCUGGGAAUGGCGGUGGAAACCGGUGUACUAGAGUAUGGGAGAGGGUGGUGGAAUUCCAGGUGUAGCGGUGAAAUGCGUAGAGAUCUGGAGGAACAUCAGUGGCGAAGGCGGCCACCUGGCCCAAUACUGACGCUGAGGCACGAAAGCGUGGGGAGCAAACAGGAUUAGAUACCCUGGUAGUCCACGCCCUAAACGAUGAAUACUAGAUGUUUGGUGCCUAGCGUACUGAGUGUCGUAGCUAACGCGAAAAUAUUCCGCCUGGAANACGCCGC
Molecule: ribosomal RNA, 353 nt
Filed under: uncultured Acidithiobacillus sp.
Lineage: Bacteria; Pseudomonadati; Pseudomonadota; Acidithiobacillia; Acidithiobacillales; Acidithiobacillaceae
Description: bacterial SSU rRNA
Rfam family: Bacterial small subunit ribosomal RNA
Source: RNAcentral